Molecule: ribosomal RNA, 532 nt
Filed under: Aeolagrion dorsale
Lineage: Eukaryota; Metazoa; Arthropoda; Insecta; Odonata; Coenagrionidae
Description: partial 16S ribosomal RNA
Rfam family: Bacterial large subunit ribosomal RNA
Source: RNAcentral
GUCCUUUUGUUUAUUUAGAAGGUCUGGCCUGCCCAGUGAAAUUAAUUUAACGGCCGCGGUAUAUUGACCGUGCAAAGGUAGCAUAAUCAUUAGUCUUUUAAUAGGAGGCUGGAAUGAAAGGUUUAACGAAACAUUAGCUGUCUCAAUUAUAAAUUUAGAAUUUAACUUUUAAGUCAAAAGGCUUAAAUCUCAUUGGUGGACGAGAAGACCCUUUAGAGCUUUACAUUAAAAUUUUUAAUAUAAUUAUGCUAAAUAAUUUUUUGUUAAUUUUUUUACUGUUUUGUUGGGGUGACAAAAAUAUAUAAAUAACUUUUAUUAUUCUUUUUUACAUUAAUAUAUGAUUAUUGGAUCCAUUAUUAUUGAUUAUUAGAUUAAGUUACCUAAGGGAUAACAGCGUAAUCUUCUUUCAGAGUUCAAAUCUACAAGAAGGCUUGCGACCUCGAUGUUGGAUUAAGAUAAUAUUUAAGUGCAGUAGCUUAAUUAAUAGGUCUGUUCGACCUUUAAAUUCUUACAUGAUCUGAGUUCAGACCGG